Molecule: ribosomal RNA, 494 nt
Filed under: uncultured bacterium
Lineage: Bacteria
Description: partial 16S ribosomal RNA
Rfam family: Bacterial small subunit ribosomal RNA
Source: RNAcentral
GACGAACGCUGGCGGCGUGCUUAACACAUGCAAGUCGAACGGUGAAGCGCCUUCCUUUUUGGUGGGUGUGGAUGAGUGGCGAACGGGUGAGUAACACGUGAGUAACCUGCCCCCUUCUUCUGGAUAACCGCAUGAAAGUGUGGCUAAUACGGGAUAUUCUGGGUCUGUCGCAUGAUGGGUCUGGGAAAGAUAUUGUUUCGGUGGGGGAUGGGCUCGCGGCCCAUCAGCUUGUUGGUGGGGUGAUGGCCUACCAAGGCGGUGACGGGUAGCCGGCCUGAGAGGGUGGACGGUCACACUGGGACUGAGACACGGCCCAGACUCCUACGAGAGGCAGCAGUGGGGAAUAUUGCACAAUGGGCGCAGGCCUGAUGCAGCGACGCCGCGUGAGGGAUGGAGGCCUUCGGGUUGUGAACCUCUUUCGCCAGUGAAGCAGGCCUGCCUCGUUUGUGGGUGGGUUGACGGUAGCUGGAUAAGAAGCGCCGGCUAACUACGUG